CAGCCGCCGCGGGAAUACGGAGGGUGCAAGCGUUAAUCGGAAUUACUGGGCGUAAAGCGCACGCAGGCGGUCUGUCAAGUCAGAUGUGAAAUCCCCGGGCUUAACCUGGGAACUGCAUUUGAAACUGGCAGGCUAGAGUCUUGUAGAGGGGGGUAGAAUUCCAGGUGUAGCGGUGAAAUGCGUAGAGAUCUGGAGGAAUACCGGUGGCGAAGGCGGCCCCUGGACAAAGACUGACGCUCAGGUGCGAAAGCGUGGGGAGCAAACAGGAUUAGAUACCCCUGUAGUCCCUGUCUCUUAUACA
Molecule: ribosomal RNA, 301 nt
Filed under: uncultured bacterium
Lineage: Bacteria
Description: partial 16S ribosomal RNA
Rfam family: Bacterial small subunit ribosomal RNA
Source: RNAcentral